RNAcentral lists this ribosomal RNA (466 nucleotides) under uncultured bacterium. RNAcentral's name for it is "partial 16S ribosomal RNA". It matches the Rfam family "Bacterial small subunit ribosomal RNA", at positions 339 to 795 of the family's 1533-position model. The record is from RNAcentral.
CUACGGGAUGCUGCAGUGAGGAAUAUUGCGCAAUGGGGGAAACCCUGACGCAGCGACGCCGCGUGGAUGAUGAAGGCCUUCGGGUCGUAAAAUCCUGUCAGAUGGGAAGAAAUGUUAUAUCUCUAAUAUAGGUAUGAUUUGACGGUACCAUCAAAGGAAGCACCGGCUAACUCCGUGCCAGCAGCCGCGGUGAAUACGGAGGGUGCAAGCGUUGUUCGGAAUUACUGGGCGUAAAGCGCGCGUAGGCGGCUAUUUAAGUCAGAUGUGAAAGUCCACGGCUCAACCGGGGAAGUGCAUUUGAAACUGGAUGGCUUGAGUACUGGAGGGGGUGGUGGAAUUCCCGGUGUAGAGGUGAAAUUCGUAGAUAUCGGGAGGAAUACCGGUGGCGAAGGCGACCACCUGGCCAGAUACUGACGCUGAGGUGCGAAAGCGUGGGGAGCAAACAGGAUUAGAUACCCCCGUAGUC